Molecule: ribosomal RNA, 447 nt
Filed under: uncultured bacterium
Lineage: Bacteria
Description: bacterial SSU rRNA
Rfam family: Bacterial small subunit ribosomal RNA
Source: RNAcentral
UGGGGAAUAUUGGACAAUGGGCGCAAGCCUGAUCCAGCCAUGCCGCGUGAACGAUGAAGGCCUUAGGGUUGUAAAGUUCUUUUGUCAGGGAAGAUAAUGACGGUACCUGAAGAAUAAGCACCGGCUAACUUCGUGCCAGCAGCCGCGGUAAUACGAAGGGUGCUAGCGUUGUUCGGAAUCACUGGGCGUAAAGCGCACGUAGGUGGGCAGUUAAGUCAGGGGUGAAAGCCCGAGGCUCAACCUCGGAAUUGCCUCUGAUACUGGCUGUCUAGAGUUCGAGAGAGGUGAGUGGAAUUCCUAGUGUAGAGGUGAAAUUCGUAGAUAUUAGGAAGAACACCGGUGGCGAAGGCGGCUCACUGGCUCGAUACUGACACUGAGGUGCGAAAGCGUGGGGAGCAAACAGGAUUAGAUACCCACGUAGUCCCUGAGCGGGCUGGCAAGGCGCAU